RNA transcript from Neodiprion virginianus, 2205 nucleotides. It is a transcript of the gene named RNA polymerase I-specific transcription initiation factor RRN3, with no coding region annotated. NCBI's taxonomy places the organism in Eukaryota, Metazoa, Arthropoda, Insecta, Hymenoptera, Diprionidae. The record is from RefSeq and is a predicted model, not a curated record. The transcript is spliced from 9 exons.
GGGUCUGUACUGCCCAACAGUGUGCGUUUGAUGCUCGUAGCGAUGCAUGCUCCUCGUGCACAAAUUCGUACGGAUUUGGACAGAUAGUGAUACAGUUUCAUCGAGCAAUCGUUUAAUUUUUAAAAGAAACGAUACGACGUGCAAGCAAGCCUGUUCGAUAAAAAGAAUUUCAUUCACAACUGCCCAAAGAUGUCUGUGACCUCGUCAAGGCUCAGCAGUGUAUCGUCGAUAUUGAAAGGCCCAGGCAUCAGAGCAAAAAUUAUAAACCAGGCAAACAGAGUACAAUUCAAACUUCCAAAAAAUCUCAAGGAUAUAUUGCUUAGCUUCGAAAGUGGCACAAGUCAUAAGCAAUAUGAAAAUCUUGUGUGUACCAUUCGUGACUCGGAAAUUAGGGAAAGUGAGUUGAUAGAUUUGUUGACGGAAACACACGCUUGUAUCUCGUUACUUGGCCCGUCACAUAGAUUAUUUAUCGAGGCACUGCUGACGCUUAAUUGGACAACCAGAUCGUUGCAAGUAACGACAAUCUACAAAGGAUUUCUCGAAGAUCUAGUAUCUGCUCAUAACUAUCAUGCCAAGCUUAUAAUAGACAAGCUAGUAGAUCGAUUUAAAUCUGAAGAGGAUGACAAUACUACGGAAUGGGAAUUUUCCAAAUCAAAAAGUCAGGAUCUUCAAACGUUAAGGCAUGUGCAUGACGUCCUGCGAAUGCUUAUGAAAAUUAUUCCCAUGGCUACCGACGUUUUGUUACAAUCACUUGUAGCAAAUUAUCCUUACUGGAGGCUCAACACGCAAAGACAUGAAAUUUACAUAUAUGCCCUUCUUCAAAUACUGGAGUAUGCCCCACAUCUCAGAUCUGACAUUCUUUCACUGAUAAUCAACAGGUUAAUUGUUUUGGACGUUUAUGCGCCACGAUCGGAAAUAGACGAGUGCGAAGAUGACGAAGAUAUGGAGGAAAGUGACGAUGCGGCACAGAUCAUAUUUGCAUUAGACGAAGUGCAGGGUGACGCAAUAAAAAAUGAGAAACAGAAGGAAAUACGAAAAAUGAAACAUCCUGUGGCGCACACGUUGGACGUAUGCAUGGAGCAGGUGCUUGCAUAUAUAUAUAACUGCUGCCACAAUCAGGGAAUUCUCAACUGGGAAUCGUUGAAAAGUCUCUAUCACGAUGUCCUAAAGAUGUUUGAACAAAUAAUAUUGCCCACGCACGCCAGUCAGCACGUACAGUUUAUCAUGUUCUAUAUUUGUAGUUUUAAACCGACAGUAUCCGAAGCCUUUGUAAAUUGGCUGUGGCAGAAAGUCUCAGACCCAAACGUUGCCCCUGUUAUACGGCAAUCUUCCGUAUCCUAUAUCGCCAGUCUACUCGCCAGAGCUACAUUUAUUCAACUUGAAGUGAUCAAAACAACGUUAUUGAAAAUGUCUAUGUGGAUACACAGUUACAUAUCGUCGCAAGAUAGCCUCGAGUGCGCCAAUAGCGAUGUAAGGGUGCAUGGGGUAUUUUAUACCGUAUGCCAGGCAAUGUUCUACGUCAUUGCUUUCAGGCACAAGCAUCUCGUCGAGACUAGAAAAAACUUGUUGUUCCUUCAAAGCCUGAAUCUGACGAAGAUUAUAGCUUGUCGACUGAAUCCAUUAAAAGUUUGCCAAUCAGCAGUAGUGCGGAAUUUUGCGGCUGUAACGCGCACCUACCAGCUGGCCUACUGUUACACAAUAAUCGAGCACAAUGCUCGGAGUAAUCUACCCGUCGUUCAAAGUACCAAUCGUGUCACUCUCUGGCUGGAUACUUUCUUUCCUUUUGACCCCUACAUUCUCCUGAGAAGUGGCCCAAGAUUUACUUCGAUUUACAUGGUAUAUCAAGGCAGCGUCUCCGAUGAGGAAUCAACAUUGACCACUUGCAGAGAUGAUAAUGACGAUGACGAUUUUAUGGAUGAAACCUCAAUUCCUUUAUCGAGCUCGUGCAAUCAUAUGGAUGUCUUCUCUUAUGGAACGUCACCUGGUUUCUUACAACUCUGAACAUUCAAUUCUGUGUAGGGACUCGCAAUGUCUCAGGUCUUGUCAUAAAAUACCUACAAAUGUUAGUCUUUAUCGUGAUACUGAACUUUGGCGGUUGAACGCCAUUGAACUACACUAUACUAAUGUCCUCGGGUGCCUCGUCCUGCUGACCAAGUAACACAGUCAGAGCAUGCUCCAAGUUUUCAGGCAGGUGGUCCAAUAACA